RNAcentral lists this non-coding RNA (57 nucleotides) under unclassified sequences. RNAcentral describes it as "Li+-I sequence". It matches the Rfam family "nhaA-I RNA". Rfam says of the family: Acidobacteria, Alphaproteobacteria, Betaproteobacteria and Gammaproteobacteria, Verrucomicrobia, cand. division NC10. Downstream gene The record is from Rfam by way of RNAcentral.
GGGUGCCAGGUCCCCGAAGGGAGCAGGCAGGGUUGAGCGUUGGUCGGGCCGCCAGCG